AGAUUGAACGCUGGCGGAAUGCUUUACACAUGCAAGUCGAGCGGCAGCGCGGGGCAACCUGGCGGCGAGCGGCGGACGGGUGAGUAAUGCAUCGGAACAUGUCCAUUCGUGGGGGAUAGCCCGGCGAAAGCCGGAUUAAUACCGCAUACGCCCUAAGGGGGAAAGCCGGGGACCGCAAGGCCUGGCGCGAGUCGGGUGCCGGAUAGGCCCGAUUAGCUAGUUGGUGAGGUAAAGGCUCACCAAGGCGAUGAUCGGUAGCUGGUCUGAGAGGAUGAUCAGCCACACUGGGACUGAGACACGGCCCAGACUCACGGGAGCAGCAGUGGGAAUUUUGGACAAUGGGGGCAACCCUGAUCCAGCCAUUCCGCGUGAGUGAAGAAGGCCUUGGGUUGUAAAGCUCUUUGUCCGGUAACGAACGGUUAGCGUAGAAUAGCGCGACUACUGACGGUACCGGAAGAAUAAGCACGGCUAACUACGUCGCCAGCAAGCCGAC
RNAcentral lists this ribosomal RNA (493 nucleotides) under uncultured soil bacterium. Its description in RNAcentral is "bacterial SSU rRNA". It matches the Rfam family "Bacterial small subunit ribosomal RNA", at positions 26 to 522 of the family's 1533-position model. The record is from RNAcentral.